RNAcentral lists this ribosomal RNA (497 nucleotides) under uncultured bacterium. RNAcentral's name for it is "partial 16S ribosomal RNA". It matches the Rfam family "Bacterial small subunit ribosomal RNA", at positions 28 to 507 of the family's 1533-position model. The record is from RNAcentral.
GAUGAACGCUGGCGGUGUGCCUAAUACAUGCAAGUCGAGCGAACAGACGAGGAGCUUGCUCCUCUGACGUUAGCGGCGGACGGGCGAGUAACACGUGGAUAACCUACCUAUAAGUCUGGGAUAACUUCGGGAAACCGGAGCUAAUACCGGAUAACAUGAUGAACCGCAUGGAUCAACAGCGAAAGACGGCUUUGCUGUCAAUUAUAGAUGGAUCCGCGCCGCAUUAGCUAGUUGGUAAGGUAACGGCUUACCAAGGCAACGAUGCGUAGCCGACCUGAGAGGGUGAUCGGCCACACUGGAACUGAGACACGGUCCAGACUCCUACGGGAGGCAGCAGUAGGGAAUCUUCCGCAAUGGGCGAAAGCCUGACGGAGCAACGCCGCGUGAGUGAAGAAGGUCUUCGGAUCGUAAAACUCUGUUAUUAGGGAAGAACAAAUGUGUAAGUAACUAUGCACGUCUUGACGGUACCUAAUCAGAAAGCCACGGCUAACUACGUG